Molecule: non-coding RNA, 68 nt
Organism: Podarcis lilfordi (Lilford's wall lizard)
Lineage: Eukaryota; Metazoa; Chordata; Lepidosauria; Squamata; Lacertidae
Source: the annotation of a GenBank genome assembly
GGGGUUGUAGUUCAGUGUCAGAGCAUCUGCUUUGCAUGCAGAAGGUCUCAGGUUCCCUGGCAUCUCUA